UAACAACAGGCGUCCUAACAACAGGUGUCCUAACAACAGGGGUCCUAACAACAGGCGUCCUAACAACAGGCGUCCUAACAACAGGGGUCCUAACAACAGGCGCCCUAACAACAGGCAUCCUAACAACAGGCAUCCUAACACUCCCACAGCCCCUCAGCAUCUACAGCCUCACUCCCACCCUACAACAUUUCAGAUAGGUGUCAUUAGCCCCAUUUUACAGAUGAACGAGGAAAACAGCUCGAAGGGGCUGUGACUUUGUGACGACUCGGUGGCAGAGCUGGGAUCGAGCCCGGGUUUGUAACACCCUCCUGGAGUCCUGGCCUUCACAGCAGCCUCCAGAGAGAAGGCCUGUGGCCUUCCUGGCAUUGGAAAGUGGUCAGCUACCUGUGUUCGGUCAGCAAGAUGCCCAACUCUUAGUUUGGUCUCACCUGGAUGCUUCUUUCUCCUCUAGAGAUGGAAAACUGUGGUCCUGAAAGUGUCACCAAACACAACCUGAGGAAAGGAAAGAACAGGAUCAGCUCAUCCAUCCAGAGCUGGAGGGACUGUUAGGGGACCAUACCACUUGCCCACGGUAUCCUGGGCGUGCAGGCUUUGGCCUUGGGCCAUGAACGGACUUUCAGCUUCUAGAAGCAAGUGAUCACAGGGCCUCCAUGACCCUCGGAGAUGGCACCACGGCGUCCGCUACCUAAUCCUCGCUGGACAAGGCUGGCUCUGCUCCGGAAUGCAGAAACCCCGAUUCCUCGUCCUGGGCCCCCACGGUGUCUGAGUGUCGGCAGUCCCUGCUCUGGGACCAGUCACUCCACAGACACCCCACGUUCAGGAUUCAAGUCUUGAGGAACCAGAAGCAGAGAUGCACACUGUGGCGAAGAGCGGAGCGGAGGUUCUCUGGCCCCUUCAGAGAACCGCACUUGGUUCGGGCCAGCCGCUGGAGGGGACAGGCUCACGUCUGCUUCUCACACUGCAACUCCUGGGCCGUGGAGCUUCCCCAGGGAGCCAGAGGAACUUUUGCGGCAGCCAUGAAGGGGACACGCUGGAGGAGGGUCCCCUGGGUGUCCCUGAGCUGCCUGUCUCUCUGCCUCCUUCCACAUGUGGUCCCAGGUCACGCCACCCCUCUUCCUGUCACCAGCGCUUCCUCAGCAUCCACAGUAUCCUCGGGCUCCCCUCUGAAGACAGAAACAUCAGGAAUGACAACACCCUCAGUGAAGACAGAUGGUGGGAAAGGCAGAGUCACAUCACUACCCCAAACAACCUCCCAGACCACCACAGCCACAUCCACAUCCCCGAUGACCUCCCAGACCACCACCUCCGCCACGGUCAAAUCCAUACCCCAACCACCUCUCAGACCGCCACCUCUGCCACAGCCACAUCCACACCCCAACAACCUCCCAGACUGCCACAGACACAUCCACAGCCACAUCACCACCCCAACAACCUCCCAGACCACCACAGCCAUAUCCCUACCCCAACCACAUCUCAGAAUGCCACAGCCACAUCCACAACCCCAACAACCUCCCAGACAGCCACAGCCACAUCCACAUCCACAUCACCCCCCCCAACAACCUCCCAGACCGCCACAGCCACAUCCACACACCCAACCACCUCUCA
Molecule: long non-coding RNA, 1605 nt
Filed under: Rhinopithecus bieti (black snub-nosed monkey)
Lineage: Eukaryota; Metazoa; Chordata; Mammalia; Primates; Cercopithecidae
Description: lncRNA (ENSRBIG00000045315.1)
Source: RNAcentral